AGAUGAGCCUCGCAUGUCAAAUCUUCCUUCUGAUUUUCGUCUUUUCCAUCCAAGGUACGGUGGCGUGGGUCUCCACUGGCGACCUUGGGGCGAGUGUUAGAGUCGAAGAGGUCAGAGCCCAGCUUUCUCUGGCAGGGAGUCUCAAGAUCUCAGUAACUGUCUUGCUUUUUAUAGGUGCAGCUCCUGCAAAUGAUGAUAUCGUCUGGGGUACCCUGGGUCAGGACAUCAACCUGGAUAUUCCUGAUUCUCAAAUGAUUAAUAUAGAUGAUAUACACUGGGAAAAAGGCAAAAAGAAGGUGGCGAGGUUCCAAAUUAGCAACAAGCCUAAGAAUCCAGAUGAAAAAUAUAACGUGUCAAUGAAUGGAACUCUGAAAAUUAAACAUCUGAUGCUAGAAGACAGCGAUACCUACAAGGUAGUUAUAUACGAUAAGGAUGGAAAGAAUGCGUUGGAAAAAACAUUUCAGCUGAAGAUUCAAGGUAAGUCUUUAUUCCCUAAAAUUCCUUCAUCUCAGCAUGGGUGCUGUUUAGUAAGUAAGGGAAUAGCAUUUAGGGACCGGCCCGGCCUGACCUUGGCCUUGGGCGAGCUCUAAAAAAAAAAAAAAAAAUCUAAUGCCUCUCUCCCAGCUCAGUGAGGGCUCCAGUCCUGUGGAAAAGAUGAGGUCCACACGUGUGGAAAUCCACGGGGGAGAGAUCCUCACCUCUAUUUGCCUAAAACGCUCUCUUCAGAGGUUACGGGGAUGUAGAGCUGAGUGUCCAACCCAGAUUAAGGUGGCAUCAAUCAGGAGGAGGGGAGCACGUGGGCAGAAGAAAACAGCGGUCAUUCCAGGUGGCUCGUGAAGGAGCAAGCGGGGUGUGGGGCAGGCUAACUGGAGAGUACUGGGUCUUCCAUCGGGAGAGCCGUUUGAAGCCAGGAUGCCCUGAAGGAGUCGUUCUAAGCCCUAAAGGUUGAUGAAUUUAAAGAUGAACGGGCCCGUGUUUGAGAUCUACUCAACAGGAGAGCGAUCAGAAGCAGAAGUUAACUCUUGCUGCUCUCUGUAGAAGGUACGCCAGGGGUGGCUGGCUGUGUGUGGUGGGCCGGGAGGGCCGGCGUGCAUGUUGACGACGAGCCAGGGAGCUGCUGCUAUAAUCCGAGUGAGGUGAGAAGGAGCUGGCUGGUGAUUCGUAACUCAGGCUGCCUGUUAGAGUCAACUGAGGUGCUAAGAAAGAUUACCGGUGCCUAGGUCCCAGCCCGGACCAAUCAAAUCCGAACUCCCUGGCAUGGGGCCGGGGCAUCAGCAGGUGUUCGAGCACCCCAGCUGACUCAUGGGCAGCCAAAGCACGACCACUGGCCUCAAUAAAGGGUGCCUGUAAAUGAGGAAGCAGGGUACACGGGGGUGGGGGGGCGGGGAAGGAUGGGCAAGAUGGUCUGGGUACAGCAGACAAGGAAGAGAAAGUGAAAUUGAAUGACACUCAGGUUGAAAGUCCAGGAGACCCUCGGCAGGGGGAGGGGCGCAAUAGGAGGAAGAGAAGCUUGGGGAGAAAGACAGGAACUCCAGCAACAGCAUGAGCCAGAGUUUCAGGGGGCAAAUAAAUCAAUAUUUCUGUGCUUCGCACAGGAAUUGUCGCCAGAGACAGGGUUCCUUCCCCCUCCCUAGGAUCACCCUCCGGCCUGUUCCCAGCCCCCACUCUAGCAAUCCCAGAUGGGAAAUCCCAGAUAGCUCCCUGCAAAUGACAACUUUCCAUACCCUAGUUCUGCAACCCUGAACGGAGAGGAUAUUCCAGAAAUGGGGUGAGGCUAAGAACAGAGCUGGAAGGGGCCUCUGCUUCCAGGCCCUGGGAACACAGCUCUCCUGACUCCUGUCCAUAUGGGCUCAAGUGUCCUCUCCUGAACACGAGCCUUACACGUGUGUCUCAUCUAGUAACGCAGUGAUGAUGGCUUAUCAACUAGGCAUCAGGUGCCCUGCUACGUGAUCCUGUUUAAGGUUCCCAGCAAUGCGGACAGCAUCCUCUUAUCAUCCAGAGGGAAUCAGGAGCAACUUGUCCGAAGUCUCACAGUUUGACAGGAGCAGAGUCAGGGUGCAAGUUCAGCGCUUCUCUUAAUGAGGAUGGUGACAUCCCCCCCCCCCAAACAGCUUUAUUGAGAUAGAAUUCACAUACCAGAAAUUCACCCUUUUAAAGUGUACAAUUCAAUGGCUUUUGGUAUAUUCAGUUAGGCAACUAGCUCACAACUGAUUGUAGAAUGUGUUCAUUACCCAAAAAUAACCCCCACUCUCCUUGGCCAAAAGACAGAGAUCUUUCCAUGACACGACUGGUGCCUGCUGAGUGAGUGUGUGUGUGUGUGUGUGUGUGUGUGUCAGUGUCACACGGCAUCUUAAUUCAGCUUGUGGUCUGGUCCUCAUUACUUGCAACAUGGCCUUGGGCAAAUUCUCCGCCUGCUCUGAGCCUGAUUUGUGUAAUAAUAACUCCAUGGGAUAUUCAAUGAGAUAACUGAGCAAAGGUGCUGGACAGCACUGGGACCCAAUACCCAUUUGCUCAGUGCUGAUGCCCUACCCCAACCCUGUUUCUUCACGCAUCUAUAGUUUCAGUUUCCUUGAGGAGGCUGCUGCCUCUGGCUAAAGAGGCAUCAGAAGUUCUCUUAAAAGAGAGCUUAGGGGAGAACUAAUAAAUCCUAGCAACCUGGAUCUAGGGAGUUCUCAUCUAUGUGAUGUGCCCCCACAGCCAUGCCUCUUCCGGGAAGCUACUUACAGAGAGGACAUUUACAAAGACGUGGCUCCAAGAACCUGCUCAUCGCUGUGUGGUUUAUGUUAGUGAAAAACUGGAAAGGGUCACAAAGUCCCCAGCAGUUACAAACUUCUUCAUUAAAUUAAGACACCUCAUUUAAAAAGAUGGGGAGAUGAAUAUUUCUUGAUGUUCAGAAAGGAAAGAAUUUCAUAACAGAUCAUCAGUAAGGAGGGAAAAAAGCAGACUACAAAAUCAUACGAUCCAGUUUUAGUUUUUAAAACAUUAUGUGUACGUGUGUUACGUAUCGAAAGCAUCUGUUGACUCUGGGUAGUAGAAUUACACGCGAUUUUUUUAAUCCUGAAACAUGUUACUGUAGCUGAUCAAGUUUUACAAUGAUUAGAUGUUACUGUUAGAAAUAGAAAGAAGAUUCUUUCCAUUUUGAAAAGGCAAAUAGACACCUUGACUUGACCCCUAGACUCUUCACUGCCCCUGCCUUGUAGGCCCUCCAUCCUGUUCAUUCUGGACCCCAAAGAAUCUUGGGAUGGGAAGAAAAGUUAAUUUCUGCAUACCUAUCUACUAGAGCAGAAAUGAAAUUUGAUGGGAAAGUGCACAGAGAAGAUACGUUGCUUGGGAGGCAGGGAGGGAGGGGUCAUUAAAAAAGCAGCCAUCUGGCUGCAUAACGGAUGGAGAGAAAUUGAGCGAGAAAGGUGGUUAAGUCUGGGAAAAGAGAGUAAGGGUAAGAACAAGAACAGAAGAGAAGAAGGAGGAGGUCAGACAGCUAAGAAGUGGUGACAUUAGGAUUUGGACCAGCCCUGUGUGAAGCCAAGGGCGUUUUCUUUCAUGACGCAGCCUUGGAAUAUUAUUGUGUCAGAAAAAGAGAGGCAAGGAGUUGAUGAUUAUGAGGGGCUGGUGCCCACUCACCCCAGAACUUGAGCUGCACACCCGGCCCUCUCCUCCCAGGACCUGGUGGGUGGAUGGGAGUAGGGUCUGUUUGUGACCAAGGUCCCAGACCACACAUGUAACGACACCUCCAGGGUAGGGUUCCUGGCUGCAUGGAAGCAUUGCCCCCCUCAAGUUUUGGGGAUCAAGACAUGCUAACUGUCUUACCCAUGCUCCUGAACUUGGGCUUAGAAGAGUGAGCUCCUCCCGUUAUCUGCCAUUUAUUAGUGGGUGCCCUUAGAUCACCAUUGAACCUCUCAGGGCUUUGGGGAUAUCCACUGUAAAUGGCAAGAAAAAUCAGCCUCUUCUCUUUGUUAGGAUUAAGUGACAUCAUGUAUGUGAAAACAUUUUGAGGUAUAAAAUAGCACAUAAACAUUUGACAGGAUGCAUUUUUUUUCCUGCUCAUAUGAUGUAUCUAUGAACAUCAUAAAAAAAUUGUUCCGAGUGUGCUGUAUAAAAAAAAUAAAAAUGGGGGCGCCUGGGUGGCUCAGUCAGUUGAGCAUCCGACUUCGGCUCAGGUCAUGAUCUCGCAGUUCAUGAGUCUGAGCCCGCAUUGGGCUCUGUGCUGACAGCUCGGAGCCUGGAGCCUGCUUCCGAUUCUGUGUCUCCCUCUCGCUCUGCCCCUCCCCCACUCAUGCUCUGUCUCUCUCUGUCAAAAAUAAAAUAAACAUUAAAAAAAAAUUCUUUAAAUAAAAAUGAUUUGCAACAAUAGCUAGUGGUCUCGGAAAUCGUCUCCUGGUCCCAGACUAACUCUUCCCCUCUCCAUAAAUAAGUAUGUCAGUUAAAAUCAGAAAAUUGACUACUAUGAAUUGGAUCUUUUUUUUUUUUUUUUCCAGAGAAGGUCUCAACGCCUAACAUCGACUGGAAUUGUAUCAACAAAACCCUGGUCUGUAAGAUAUCAAAUGGAACAGACCCUGAAUUAAAACUGUACGUAAAUGGGACCAGUAUCAAGCCCGUUUCUUCGAAGUUCAGCACAUAUAGGUUUAUAAACAAGCAGAAGAUAUUAGUCAACUGCACGGCAGAAAACAAAGUCAGCAAGGAAAGCAACGUGAAGAUGAUCACUUGUUCAGGUGCGUGGCAAGCACUGGUCAGACAUCCCAAGCUCAUUUGGCAAACACAGCCUGUCAGGUGUGGGGCAGAGACUCGCUCUGGGGCACGGGGGACUGGGCUGGGAGGCAGCCCUUUG
This 4825-nucleotide long non-coding RNA is filed under the name Lynx pardinus (Iberian lynx). Lineage: Eukaryota; Metazoa; Chordata; Mammalia; Carnivora; Felidae. The record is from RNAcentral.